Molecule: ribosomal RNA, 541 nt
Filed under: Sarcophaga fertoni
Lineage: Eukaryota; Metazoa; Arthropoda; Insecta; Diptera; Sarcophagidae
Description: partial 12S ribosomal RNA
Rfam family: Microsporidia small subunit ribosomal RNA (bases 1-376)
Source: RNAcentral
GGCGGUAUUUUAGUCUAUUCAGAGGAACCUGUCUUUUAAUCGAUAAUCCACGAUGGACCUUACUUAAGUUUGUAUUCAGUUUAUAUACCGUCGUUAUUAGAAUAUUUUAUAAGAAAGUUAAUUUUCAAGAUUUUUUAAUAGAAAAUAUAUCAGAUCAAGGUGUAGCUUAUGUUUAAGUAUAGAUGGGUUACAAUAAAAUUAUUUAUAUGAAUAUAAAUUUGAAAAAUUUAUUGAAAGUGGAUUUGAUAGUAAAAUUAUAAAGAUUAAUAGUUUGAUUUUAGCUCUAAAAUAUGCACACAUCGCCCGUCACUCUUAUUAUUAAGGUAAGAUAAGUCGUAACAUAGUAGAUGUACUGGAAAGUGUACCUAGAAUGCAGUUUAAAGCUUAUUUAGUAAAGCAUUUCAUUUACAUUGAAAAGAUUUUUGUGCAAAUCAAUAUAAAUUGAUUAUAUUUUAUUUAUUAAUUAAUUUUUUUUUUAUUAUAAAUUAUUAAAAAUAAUUAUUAUCAGAAUUGUUUGAGUAUUUUAUAAAGAAAAAAUAAU